RNAcentral lists this ribosomal RNA (466 nucleotides) under uncultured bacterium. Its description in RNAcentral is "partial 16S ribosomal RNA". It matches the Rfam family "Bacterial small subunit ribosomal RNA", at positions 338 to 795 of the family's 1533-position model. The record is from RNAcentral.
CCUACGGGAGGCAGCAGUGGGGAAUAUUGCGCAAUGGGCGAAAGCCUGACGCAGCGACGCCGCGUGAGGGAUGAAGGUCUUCGGAUCGUAAACCUCUGUCAGCAGGGAAGAACGGUCACUGUGCUAAUCAGCAGUGAAUUGACGGUACCUGCAAAGGAAGCACCGGCUAACUCCGUGCCAGCAGCCGCGGUAAUACGGAGGGUGCAAGCGUUAUCCGGAUUUCUUUGGUUUAAAGGGUGCGUAGGCUGUGAGGUAAGUCAGCGGUGAAAUGCCCCGGCUCAACGGGGUGAAGUGCAAUUGAUACUGGCUUGCUGGAGUGUGGAUGCGGUGGGAGGAAUGUGUGGUGUAGCGGUGAAAUGCAUAGAUAUCACACAGAACACCGAUUGCGAAGGCAUCUCACGAAUCCGCGAUUGACGCUGAGGCACGAAAGCGUGGGUAUCAAACAGGAUUAGAUACCCGGGUAGUC